This 1554-nucleotide ribosomal RNA is filed under the name Salmonella enterica subsp. enterica serovar Newport. Its description in RNAcentral is "bacterial SSU rRNA". It matches the Rfam family "Bacterial small subunit ribosomal RNA". Lineage: Bacteria; Pseudomonadati; Pseudomonadota; Gammaproteobacteria; Enterobacterales; Enterobacteriaceae. The record is from RNAcentral. RNAcentral also lists the same sequence under 1 other name.
AAAUUGAAGAGUUUGAUCAUGGCUCAGAUUGAACGCUGGCGGCAGGCCUAACACAUGCAAGUCGAACGGUAACAGGAAGCAGCUUGCUGCUUCGCUGACGAGUGGCGGACGGGUGAGUAAUGUCUGGGAAACUGCCUGAUGGAGGGGGAUAACUACUGGAAACGGUGGCUAAUACCGCAUAACGUCGCAAGACCAAAGAGGGGGACCUUCGGGCCUCUUGCCAUCAGAUGUGCCCAGAUGGGAUUAGCUAGUUGGUGAGGUAACGGCUCACCAAGGCGACGAUCCCUAGCUGGUCUGAGAGGAUGACCAGCCACACUGGAACUGAGACACGGUCCAGACUCCUACGGGAGGCAGCAGUGGGGAAUAUUGCACAAUGGGCGCAAGCCUGAUGCAGCCAUGCCGCGUGUAUGAAGAAGGCCUUCGGGUUGUAAAGUACUUUCAGCGGGGAGGAAGGUGUUGUGGUUAAUAACCACAGCAAUUGACGUUACCCGCAGAAGAAGCACCGGCUAACUCCGUGCCAGCAGCCGCGGUAAUACGGAGGGUGCAAGCGUUAAUCGGAAUUACUGGGCGUAAAGCGCACGCAGGCGGUCUGUCAAGUCGGAUGUGAAAUCCCCGGGCUCAACCUGGGAACUGCAUUCGAAACUGGCAGGCUUGAGUCUUGUAGAGGGGGGUAGAAUUCCAGGUGUAGCGGUGAAAUGCGUAGAGAUCUGGAGGAAUACCGGUGGCGAAGGCGGCCCCCUGGACAAAGACUGACGCUCAGGUGCGAAAGCGUGGGGAGCAAACAGGAUUAGAUACCCUGGUAGUCCACGCCGUAAACGAUGUCUACUUGGAGGUUGUGCCCUUGAGGCGUGGCUUCCGGAGCUAACGCGUUAAGUAGACCGCCUGGGGAGUACGGCCGCAAGGUUAAAACUCAAAUGAAUUGACGGGGGCCCGCACAAGCGGUGGAGCAUGUGGUUUAAUUCGAUGCAACGCGAAGAACCUUACCUGGUCUUGACAUCCACAGAACUUUCCAGAGAUGGAUUGGUGCCUUCGGGAACUGUGAGACAGGUGCUGCAUGGCUGUCGUCAGCUCGUGUUGUGAAAUGUUGGGUUAAGUCCCGCAACGAGCGCAACCCUUAUCCUUUGUUGCCAGCGGUCCGGCCGGGAACUCAAAGGAGACUGCCAGUGAUAAACUGGAGGAAGGUGGGGAUGACGUCAAGUCAUCAUGGCCCUUACGACCAGGGCUACACACGUGCUACAAUGGCGCAUACAAAGAGAAGCGACCUCGCGAGAGCAAGCGGACCUCAUAAAGUGCGUCGUAGUCCGGAUUGGAGUCUGCAACUCGACUCCAUGAAGUCGGAAUCGCUAGUAAUCGUGGAUCAGAAUGCCACGGUGAAUACGUUCCCGGGCCUUGUACACACCGCCCGUCACACCAUGGGAGUGGGUUGCAAAAGAAGUAGGUAGCUUAACCUUCGGGAGGGCGCUUACCACUUUGUGAUUCAUGACUGGGGUGAAGUCGUAACAAGGUAACCGUAGGGGAACCUGCGGUUGGAUCACCUCCUUACCUUAAAGAAGC